Molecule: ribosomal RNA, 619 nt
Filed under: uncultured Simplicispira sp.
Lineage: Bacteria; Pseudomonadati; Pseudomonadota; Betaproteobacteria; Burkholderiales; Comamonadaceae
Description: bacterial SSU rRNA
Rfam family: Bacterial small subunit ribosomal RNA
Source: RNAcentral
AGAGUUUGAUCAUGGCUCAGAUUGAACGCUGGCGGCAUGCCUUACACAUGCAAGUCGAACGGUAACAGCACUUCGGUGGCUGACGAGUGGCGGACGGGUGAGUAAUACAUCGGAACGUGCCCGAUCGUGGGGGAUAACUACUCGAAAGAGUGGCUAAUACCGCAUACGAUCUACGGAUGAAAGCGGGGGAUCGCAAGACCUCGCGCGGACGGAGCGGCCGAUGGCAGAUUAGGUAGUUGGUGGGAUAAAAGCUUACCAAGCCGACGAUCUGUAGCUGGUCUGAGAGGACGACCAGCCACACUGGGACUGAGACACGGCCCAGACUCCUACGGGAGGCAGCAGUGGGGAAUUUUGGACAAUGGGGGAAACCCUGAUCCAGCCAUGCCGCGUGCAGGAUGAAGGCCUUCGGGUUGUAAACUGCUUUUGUACGGAACGAAAAGACUCUUUCUAAUACAGAGGGUCCAUGACGGUACCGUAAGAAUAAGCACCGGCUAACUACGUGCCAGCAGCCGCGGUAAUACGUAGGGUGCAAGCGUUAAUCGGAAUUACUGGGCGUAAAGCGUGCGCAGGCGGUUAUAUAAGACAGAUGUGAAAUCCCCGGGCUCAACCUGGGAACUGC